RNAcentral lists this ribosomal RNA (46 nucleotides) under Sistotrema brinkmannii. RNAcentral describes it as "partial 28S ribosomal RNA". The record is from RNAcentral. Lineage: Eukaryota; Fungi; Basidiomycota; Agaricomycetes; Cantharellales; Hydnaceae.
AUUUUUCAACUUUGACCUCGAAUCAGGCGGGACUACCCGCUGAACU